UAGAAUUCUGUUCCAAGAACCAAACAUCUCACACACUACUUGAUAUAACAAGGUGGUCAUGUUUACAGAGCUACGGGCACUGUUUCCUAAUAUCACUGUCACCAAGUUGCUCCAUCCAUGUUUUCAUCAAGUGUUUGUGGAUCACAUCUUAUGUCCAAACCAUGGGCAUAGAUUCUAGACAGCAGUGACGAGAGUGGCAGCCAUGGCUACUGCUGUGCAAUUUUGGAAUGGAGUGCUGCCUGAGUUUCAGCUGAGGUGUGUCAGUAU
Molecule: long non-coding RNA, 267 nt
Filed under: Homo sapiens (human)
Lineage: Eukaryota; Metazoa; Chordata; Mammalia; Primates; Hominidae
Description: HSALNT0055619
Source: RNAcentral